CCUACGGGCGGCAGCAGUGGGGAAUAUUGGACAAUGGGGGGAACCCUGAUCCAGCGACGCCGCGUGAGUGAAGAAGUAUUUCGGUAUGUAAAGCUCUAUCAGCAGGGAAGAAAGAAAUGACGGUACCUGACUAAGAAGCCCCGGCUAACUACGUGCCAGCAGCCGCGGUAAUACGUAGGGGGCAAGCGUUAUCCGGAUUUACUGGGUGUAAAGGGAGCGUAGACGGCGAUGCAAGUCUGAAGUGAAAGGCGGGGGCCCAACCCCCGGACUGCUUUGGAAACUGUAUGGCUGGAGUGCAGGGGAGGUAAGUGGAAUUCCUAGUGUAGCGGUGAAAUGCGUAGAUAUUAGGAGGAACACCAGUGGCGAAGGCGGCUUACUGGACUGUAACUGACGUUGAGGCUCGAAAGCGUGGGUAUCGAACAGGAUUAGAUACCCCAGUAGUC
Molecule: ribosomal RNA, 443 nt
Filed under: uncultured bacterium
Lineage: Bacteria
Description: partial 16S ribosomal RNA
Rfam family: Bacterial small subunit ribosomal RNA
Source: RNAcentral